UGGGAGAUGGGUGGUGUCCCUGGGGCCCUC
Molecule: non-coding RNA, 30 nt
Filed under: Homo sapiens (human)
Lineage: Eukaryota; Metazoa; Chordata; Mammalia; Primates; Hominidae
Source: RNAcentral